GAAGGGCCGUUUUUGGGCGAAAAUGUUGCCAACCCGAUCAGGUCCGAAAGGAAGCAGUCGUAACAACCAUUUUUGGGUCAUCGACGGCCCUUCACU
RNAcentral lists this signal recognition particle RNA (96 nucleotides) under Alphaproteobacteria bacterium. RNAcentral's name for it is "signal recognition particle sRNA small type". It matches the Rfam family "Bacterial small signal recognition particle RNA". From Rfam's summary of the family: The signal recognition particle (SRP) is a universally conserved ribonucleoprotein involved in the co-translational targeting of proteins to membranes. Archaeal SRP consists of a 7S RNA and homologues of the eukaryotic SRP19 and SRP54 proteins. In most bacteria, the SRP consists of a 4.5S RNA and the Ffh protein (a homologue of the eukaryotic SRP54 protein). The record is from RNAcentral. Lineage: Bacteria; Pseudomonadati; Pseudomonadota; Alphaproteobacteria.